AUACGUAGGUGGCAAGCGUUGUCCGGAUUUACUGGGUGUAAAGGGCGCGUAGGCGGGAAUACAAGUCAGAUGUGAAAUCUAUGGGCUUAACCCAUAAACUGCAUUUGAAACUGUAUUUCUUGAGUGAUGGAGAGGCAGGCGGAAUUCCUAGUGUAGCGGUGAAAUGCGUAGAUAUUAGGAGGAACACCAGUGGCGAAGGCGGUCUGCUGGACAUUAACUGACGCUGAGGCGCGAAAGCGUGGGGAGC
This 247-nucleotide ribosomal RNA is filed under the name uncultured bacterium. RNAcentral describes it as "partial 16S ribosomal RNA". It matches the Rfam family "Bacterial small subunit ribosomal RNA", at positions 523 to 769 of the family's 1533-position model. The record is from RNAcentral.